GUGCCAGCCGCCGCGGUAAGACGUAGGGCGCAAGCGUUGUCCGGAAUUAUUGGGCGUAAAGAGCUCGUAGGCGGCUCGUUGCGUCGGCUGUGAAAACCCGCAGCUCAACUGUGGGCUUGCAGCCGAUACGGGCGAGCUAGAGUUCGGUAGGGGAGACUGGAAUUCCUGGUGUAGCGGUGAAAUGCGCAGAUAUCAGGAGGAACACCGGUGGCGAAGGCGGGUCUCUGGGCCGAUACUGACGCUGAGGAGCGAAAGCGUGGGGAGCGAACAGGAUUAGAAACCCCAGUAGUCC
RNAcentral lists this ribosomal RNA (292 nucleotides) under uncultured bacterium. Its description in RNAcentral is "partial 16S ribosomal RNA". It matches the Rfam family "Bacterial small subunit ribosomal RNA", at positions 505 to 796 of the family's 1533-position model. The record is from RNAcentral.